RNAcentral lists this ribosomal RNA (253 nucleotides) under uncultured bacterium. RNAcentral's name for it is "partial 16S ribosomal RNA". It matches the Rfam family "Bacterial small subunit ribosomal RNA", at positions 524 to 775 of the family's 1533-position model. The record is from RNAcentral.
UACGUAGGGUGCAAGCGUUAAUCGGAAUUACUGGGCGUAAAGCGUGCGCAGGCGGUUCGUAUAAGACAGAUGUGAAAUCCCCGGGCUCAACCUGGGAACUGCAUUUGUGACUGUAGAGCUGGAGUACGGUAGAGGGGGAUGGAAUUCCGCGUGUAGCAGUGAAAUGCGUAGAUAUGCGGAGGAACACGAUGGCGAAGGCAAUCCCCUGGACCUGUACUGACGCUCAUGCACGAAAGGCGUGGGGAGCAACAGG